GAAAUUGGUUUAUUUCUCCUUCAUUCUCUGUUACCUUUGCUCGUUUCCAUGCCCUGAUUCCUUGUUCUAAAAGAAAGAGUUUCUCACAAGGGUCCGUGGCUUUGUUUGUGUUCUCUAAGAAGCUAGCAGAAGAAAAUGAUGCCCCUCUCGUGGCUUCAAAAUGGCCUGGAAUUCGAGGAAGGACAGAUUGAGACCAGAGUCCCUCCCUGCUUUGCCUAACUGCUUUGCAAGCUCAGAGAAGAAACAGAAUCGAGAGAAGACUUCUACAUAUCCAUCCAGAGAGACAAAGAAUGACAAGAAACAGAAACAAAUGGUUCUACUGUGGAAAACUCUAGAGGACAUUGGCUGAAUAACACAGAAAACACAGAAAGGGAUAAACGGAUGGCGAUAGAGUUGGGACAGUGGAAUUCUUGUUCAGCUCUUGUGGUUUUCUUCUAAAGCCCAGGGAGUCACUGCAUGGAAUCAUGAGAAGUGGAGGAAAAGCUUUCCAAGUCACCUGGUGUGCCUCCGCCAUCCCUGCAUCCCCACAGACAAUGCCUGUGCCCCUGGCUAAGAGGUUCUAACCAGAGAAACUUCUGUGGAGCAGCCCUGGACUGCUGGGCUCCUCUCCCUAACCUGUUUGAAUUCAGAGAGUCCAGAGCAUUUCCACCUGCCAGCUCCAAGCUGCUGUCCAUAGUAGGAGUUGGCCUACCACGGCCCUCAGGUCGAAUCUAAACAGAAUACUGUUUUAUAGUCAGAAAGCUAAAAUUGAUUUCUCAAUUUAAAUUAUUUUUACAUUUUUAAGGUGUAAGAACCUUUUACGCAGGGUGUGGUGGUGCACACCUUUAAUCCCAGCACUUGGAAGACAGAGGCAGGAGGAUCUCUAUAGGUUUGAGGCCAGCCUGGUCUGCAAAGAGAAUUACAGAACAGCUAAGGCUGUUACACAGAGAAACCCUGUCUCAAGCAAGGAAACCAACAAACCUUUUUUACAUCUUAGGGAACUUUCAUGACAUGAAGCUACAUUAGAUUCAAAUUUCAGUAUCCGUAAAUGAAGUUUUAUUGACACUCAGUCACACCCAACUGUCUCCACGUUGUCUCUGACAGCUUUUGCUCUACAGUGUCAGAGCCCAGUAGAAACAGAACCUCCUCCACAGCCUGCAAGACCUAGUAUUGACUGCCUGUAUCCUUACAGAAAAACAUUGCCAACCCCUACGUCAGAAUUACAAAAGUAAUCCUGAGCCCUCUGUGAAGUCUGAGCAAUAUCACUAUGUCGACAGUUCUCCCUAACAAACCCUUGGAAGGGCCUCUUAGAGUCCAGUAGUUGUCCUGGGCACUAGAAGCAUUUGAAAACAGCAUUAGUAAUACUAAGUGGUCCCAAACUUCAAGGAUCCAAGACAGGUAGACAGCAGUUACGAUGUAAGCAGUACUUAAGACCAUAGACCCCAGAGUCAGACUGCCGAGGCUUGGAGAACAGCUCUGUCCAAACAGCAACACCAUGUUCACGAGACCUGCCUUGGUCACAAUUUGCUCUGUCUGAGAAGAGUAGUUGGGCAUUGGACUCACCCAAAAGGACUGUUUCUGGACUAAGAGGCUGUGCAAGGGUCACACAAAGUAUCGGCUGGGACAGAAUGUUCAGUGAACAUGCUCAUCACCAUCACCAUCUACACACAAAGAAAUAUAAUCAAGACUAAGACUGGGGUGGAAGUCUGCGAGUGAAAGUAGAGAUGCCCAGCAGGAAGCAGAGACAUCAGUCUCUUAGAAGGAGUCUAGGAAGAGCUUCAUGAGUGAAAAGACCUUCUCUCUUCUCCACCACUGUCACCUUCAACUCCUCAAAACAAAAGACCUGAGGUCAUCUUUGUUCCCUUUCCCCAGCAGUACCAAGUCACCUUCACCCUGCUCUGCACACAGCUUGUCUCUAUCUACAUCGGUUCUUCCCUAUCUCUUUGCAUCUCUGCCCUCCUCUAAUCACCUCUCCCUGCUCUUGAGAUUAGUUCCCACUUCCUGAGUGUGGUGGUUUGAAUAAAAUAUGGAAGUGGUA
Mus musculus (house mouse) is the source of this 2017-nucleotide long non-coding RNA. RefSeq annotates it as predicted gene, 31096. NCBI's taxonomy places the organism in Eukaryota, Metazoa, Chordata, Mammalia, Rodentia, Muridae. The record is from RefSeq and is a predicted model, not a curated record. The transcript has 2 exons.